AACGAACGCUGGCGGCAUGCCUAACACAUGCAAGUCGAACGAGACCUUCGGGUCUAGUGGCGCACGGGUGCGUAACGCGUGGGAACCUGCCCUUAGGUUCGGAAUAACUCCCCGAAAGGGGUGCUAAUACCGGAUAAUGUCUUCGGACCAAAGAUUUAUCGCCUUUGGAUGGGCCCGCGUUGGAUUAGCUAGUUGGUAGGGUAAAAGCCUACCAAGGCGACGAUCCAUAGCUGGUCUGAGAGGAUGAUCAGCCACACUGGGACUGAGACACGGCCCAGACUCCUACGGGAGGCAGGAGUGGGGAAUAUUGGACAAGGGGCGAAAGCCUGAUCCAGCAAGGCCGCGUGAGUGAUGAAGGCCUUAGGGUUGUAAAGCUCUUUUACCCGGGAUGAUAAUGACAGUACCGGGAGAAUAAGCGCCGGCUAACUCCGUG
RNAcentral lists this ribosomal RNA (433 nucleotides) under uncultured bacterium. RNAcentral's name for it is "partial 16S ribosomal RNA". It matches the Rfam family "Bacterial small subunit ribosomal RNA", at positions 29 to 507 of the family's 1533-position model. The record is from RNAcentral.